UUAUUAUAUAUACAAAUCAUAAGAACCUUGAGUACUUUAUGUCAGUACCUAUUUUAAAUUGUUGCCAAGCCUAUUGAAGCAUGUUUUUAUCAAGAUUUCAUUUCAAGUUCACAUAUCAACUCAAAAAAUAGCAAGGUUUAUCAAACUUCCUUUUAAGACAUUCUUAUCUUCAACAAAAGAAAUGAUGCAUCUUUUGAUUAGCAAAGAAUAAUUUUCUUAAAGCUAGAGUAUUUUCAUCUUUGAAUAAUAAAAUCAACAUUGACUGUUGAUUUGACGCUUGUGAAAUAAAUCCAAUCAAGUAUGUCUUCUCAUCCUCUUGUUCACAAUAUCAAGAAUCCUUCUUUUAAGUCCCAUGAUACUUCUAAGUUUGAGUUCAAAAAUAACCUAUUUUAUUUUGUAGGUCGAUUAUAUAUUCCAAAAAGAGAAGCACAAUCACAUCUUCUUCAAGCACGUCAUGACUUUCCAACAACAGGAUAUUUUAGAUACAACAAGACUUU
This 497-nucleotide long non-coding RNA is filed under the name Physcomitrium patens. Its description in RNAcentral is "long non-coding RNA (PPAT_LNC004400)". Lineage: Eukaryota; Viridiplantae; Streptophyta; Bryopsida; Funariales; Funariaceae. The record is from RNAcentral.